UCUCUGCCCCAGUUUAUUCAUCUUGGGUUGGUCCAGAAGCCGGGUUUAUACACUCAAUAUGCAAGAGCUACAGACAAAAAGUCUUCAGGGCCCACCCCUCACCCCCACUCUCUGGAUCUUUCAUCCAUCCACCUGUCAGGGAUGAAACUCUUUAGAGAUAGGAAGAGCCCCCCACUUUGCCGAUAGGGAGACGGAGGGCCAGAGGCUGCAUCAGUGACUUCCAUGCCACUGUUCACCCACCAGUGUCCCCUCUUCAUACCACUGCUCACCCACCAGGAUCUUGCAUUCUCUUGGCUCCCAAGAACAAAGCAGAGAGCUAAGCUACCUUACUCAUUGGUUCUCUCCAAGACUCACCCACUCUGUAACUCACGGAGCCUGCCAAUCCCUGUUUGAAGGGCCAUGCAGUGAAAGAAGGGGUUAAAAUUCAGCAUCCUAAGCAUUUCCAGAGGCUUAGGCUGACACCGUCCCCUUCACAUCCCAGAAAGCCAACCUCUGGCUCCUCCUGACAGUCCGACUUCAGAGAAAUGAACCAAACCAAUUCAACAUCCAAUGCUGCUAAAGCCAGAGAGGCACAGCAAGGUAGAGGCAGAGACAGGGAAGCGAUAUUUUCCUCAUCGGCCUUGGAACAUCUUGUCUGUUACUUGCAAGCUUAUAAACAUACAUUGCUUUUCAUCAGAAGCUUAAAUAAACAGGGUUUGCAACAGCUCCUUUUCCAAUGGAGAGAUGGUUUGUUUGGGAACUGGUAUUUUAGAAUUCCCAUUCUCCUAUUCUUCACAGGGUUCCACUGUUAUCAUCUUUCCUGUCCCCAUCUCCCAUGUGCCCAAAGGCAGAGUUCAAGAGGGACAGUCCCCUAUGUCCUCUGUCCCCAUCCCCACCAUCAUCUUCAUCACUACUCCUGGUUCUCCUUCCUGAUACCAGUUCUCCACACACUGCCAAAAUUGCAGCCAAAAUUCCAUGGCAGGCCAGAGCAGCCACUAAACCUCCUACAAGUAAAGCCAACAUCAGGGACAAUAGCCUCAGCUGAGCAAGUCUGGGUUAAGUGAGGGAAAGGGAAAGGAGAGGUGGCCUGGGAAAUCCCAGGAGAAUGGGUCAGCCACAACCUUCAGAUAAAUGACAGCAUGCUAGCCCUCUGUCUCCAGGCAACAGUGGGACCCAGUGGAGAAGAAAGGCUGGGGUAGGCCAUGAGGAACACAAGGUGUGGGUGGACACCCACAGUGCAGCUGGAUAUAUAUUUGCACACACCUGCUCAUGAGUCUGCCUACAAACACACAUGCUCCUAACAUACACCUCCCAUGCCUGUGGCCAAACAUGUGCACCCCUGCACACACAAGGGCUUCCUCACAUACACCUAAUACAAGCCUGCACACUCAAACUCACUCAUAGACACACACAUCUUCUGCCUAUACAUCCUCACUCAUGUGCAUAUACACACACUGCUGGGUACCUGUCUACACAUGCACAUACAGAGUUCCUCAUUCUUACAUACUACACACACACACACAUAUGUACACAC
This 1513-nucleotide long non-coding RNA is filed under the name Pan troglodytes (chimpanzee). Its description in RNAcentral is "long non-coding RNA NONPTRT000187". Lineage: Eukaryota; Metazoa; Chordata; Mammalia; Primates; Hominidae. The record is from RNAcentral.